RNAcentral lists this unclassified non-coding RNA (705 nucleotides) under Hevea brasiliensis (rubber tree). The record is from RNAcentral. Lineage: Eukaryota; Viridiplantae; Streptophyta; Magnoliopsida; Malpighiales; Euphorbiaceae.
UUAUGCCGCUGUAAAUGAUUCUGGCUAUCAUCAGCUUAUCAGUCAUUGGUUAAAUACUCAUGCAACAAUAGAGCCAUUUGUGAUUGCUGCGAAUAGACAUUUGAGCGUACUACAUCCAAUAUUCAAGCUUUUACAACCUCAUUUCCGUGAUACCAUGUAUAUAAAUGCUUUGGCUCGGCAGAUACUCAUCAAUGCAGGUGGAAUACUUGAGCUGACAGUUUUUCCAGGGAAAUAUGCCAUGGAAAUGUCAUCUAUUGUCUAUAAAAGCUGGGUGUUCACCGAGCAAGGACUUCCUGCUGAUCUUCUUAAGAGAGGAAUAGCAGUGCCAGACUCAAGCCAACCCUAUGGCCUUAAACUUCUAAUUGAGGAUUAUCCUUUUGCUGUAGAUGGGCUUGAGGUUUGGGCAGCAAUCGAAGCCUGGGUUCAUGACUACUGUUCAUUCUAUUACUUAACAGAUGAAGUGAUCCGUGAUGACACUGAACUCCAGUCUUGGUGGAUGGAAGUUCGCAAUGAAGGUCAUGGUGACUUGAAAGAUGAACCAUGGUGGCCUCAGAUGCAGACACGCUCUGAACUCAUUGAAACAUGCACAACUAUCAUAUGGGUGGCUUCUGCUCUUCAUGCUGCUGUCAACUUCGGGCAGUAUCCUUAUGCUGGUUACCUCCCAAAUCGCCCAACAGUAAGUCGUCGAUUCAUGCCUGAGCCAGG